CGUGCCUAAUACAUGCAAGUCGAGCGAGCUUGCCUAGAUGAUUUUAGUGCUUGCACUAAAUGAAACUAGAUACAAGCGAGCGGCGGACGGGUGAGUAACACGUGGGUAACCUGCCCAAGAGACUGGGAUAACACCUGGAAACAGAUGCUAAUACCGGAUAACAACACUAGACGCAUGUCUAGAGUUUGAAAGAUGGUUCUGCUAUCACUCUUGGAUGGACCUGCGGUGCAUUAGCUAGUUGGUAAGGUAACGGCUUACCAAGGCAAUGAUGCAUAGCCGAGUUGAGAGACUGAUCGGCCACAUUGGGACUGAGACACGGCCCAAACUCCUACGGGAGGCAGCAGUAGGGAAUCUUCCACAAUGGACGAAAGUCUGAUGGAGCAACGCCGCGUGAGUGAAGAAGGGUUUCGGCUCGUAAAGCUCUGUUGGUAGUGAAGAAAGAUAGAGGUAGUAACUGGCCUUUAUUUGACGGUAAUUACUUAGAAAGUCACGGCUAACUACGUGCCAGCAGCCGCGGUAAUACGUAGGUGGCAAGCGUUGUCCGGAUUAAUUGGGCGUAAAGCGAGUGCAGGCGGUUCAAUAAGUCUGAUGUGAAAGCCUUCGGCUCAACCGGAGAAUUGCAUC
This 624-nucleotide ribosomal RNA is filed under the name Lactobacillus gasseri. RNAcentral's name for it is "bacterial SSU rRNA". It matches the Rfam family "Bacterial small subunit ribosomal RNA", at positions 43 to 627 of the family's 1533-position model. The record is from RNAcentral. Lineage: Bacteria; Bacillati; Bacillota; Bacilli; Lactobacillales; Lactobacillaceae.